UUGACUCUUCUGAAGGCCAAAUAUGUUUUUAUAUCAGAAUAGGCACAGCAUGGAAAGCACCAGGGCCAGCUUCCCUGCAAUGCUCCACCAUGGUGCCUCAACACUGGCCUGGGGGGACCAUCUCUAGAAAUGUGAAUGCAUUUGUUGGCCUCUCUACUGAGAAUGUCAACAAGGCUGUC
RNAcentral lists this small RNA (179 nucleotides) under Gopherus agassizii (Agassiz's desert tortoise). Its description in RNAcentral is "TUC338 (ENSGAGG00000018978.1)". The record is from RNAcentral. Lineage: Eukaryota; Metazoa; Chordata; Testudines; Testudinidae.